CGAUAACUGCAGAGGAAGCUCCGCCUCCACAUUCACUGGAGGAGAAAGAAAAUGAGCUCAGAACCCUCGGGGUCCGGUUCUCGUGUCGACUCCUGGAAUGAUCCCGGCGGCUGGCGAAGCCAUCACCCGAGACGGUCGGCGAACGCGGGCGAAUCCUUUCUGUCUGAGCUGAAGAUUCAGAAAUGGUUCGAUUCCCUCCUUCAGCAGAGAGCUAUUAGCUUUCCUGCUGGCGGGAGGAAAACAUUCAGCAGGAAGUGCUCCCCCAGGACAGAAAGGCCACACAGGAGCUCCAGACUCAGGCGGCUGGAGGGGCGCAGGACGUGUUCCCGGUCAAAGACGAAAAUAAAAACAGGAAUGAAUAAUUCAGCGGGUCACGACGGACAGACGGCGGGAAGGUGCUGUUUGUCCCAUCAAUCAGCCCGCCGACCCUCCGUGACGACCGCUCGCUGCGCCCAGGAAGAGGCCCGUCGGCGCCGGCCGUUUGUCAUCCCGCCGUCCGGAUGGGAUUUACAGCUCCUUAAUCCUCCGACGGAGGAGAGCGGGAGAACGGAGCGGACAUUUUUCCCAUGUUUUUUGAGCAGCUCGCCGGUUCCUCUGGGAACGUUGGGAUCUUAAGGUCUGCAGGUCGGAGGGAAACACAACGAGAUCUAAAGACCGGCGCUGAUGAAAAUGACUAAAUGUUUCUGAAUAUUUCUUCAGUCGAAGAGAAGACGAGAAAAUGAGAAAAAGAUGAGAUUUGAGAUGCAGAAAACACGUUUCUGAAGCCUCCAGACGGAUAGAUCCAUGAACCUCUUUGUUUCUUUCACGGGAAUCAAAAUGGCUGCAGACUCUAAUGCUGAAGGUCUAAGACAGGGGUCCCCAAACUACUAAUUCGGCCCUUCUCCACAUUUGGCCCGGCCCCCCAAACUGUUUUACAUAGAUAGAUAGAUAGAUAGAUCACUGGUUCUUAACCCGGGUUCGAUGGGUUGAUCUCAGGGGUUCAGCAGUAGGGUUGGGCACCGAAGUUCGGUUCCGAGUAGGAACCGUUAUGAUUUAUGCGGUUCUGCCAAAACCGAAAGAAGCUGCUGCAAACCGUGUCAAAUUUCAUCUGUUUGUGGACAUGUCAAUCAUCUCUACUCAUGUCAGUAGUAUGAAAUCCCAGCCAGUCUCUUUUAUGUUCCUACAAUUGGGGGCGGGCUCAUAUAAAGUCGCUGACUAGGCGAAAACGCGCCACGCAACUCUUCCAUGAGUGUCUGCAUGUCACAGUUUGACAAGUGCUGCAUCACAUUUGUCAAUCAGGAACUCACGGGCUCGUGAUGUUUUCACAGACCCGAUCAUCAGACAGAAUUUUGAUCCUAUGCGAGUGUUUUUGAUUGUUUGUUCAUGUGUACAUGAGUUCACACCAUCUCCCGGUAAGGAAGGUAUUAAUGUUCUGGAGACCUGCAGUCAA
RNAcentral lists this long non-coding RNA (1429 nucleotides) under Oryzias javanicus (javanese ricefish). RNAcentral's name for it is "lncRNA (ENSOJAG00000002253.1)". The record is from RNAcentral. Lineage: Eukaryota; Metazoa; Chordata; Actinopteri; Beloniformes; Adrianichthyidae.